RNAcentral lists this ribosomal RNA (253 nucleotides) under uncultured bacterium. Its description in RNAcentral is "partial 16S ribosomal RNA". It matches the Rfam family "Bacterial small subunit ribosomal RNA", at positions 524 to 776 of the family's 1533-position model. The record is from RNAcentral.
UACGUAGGGACCAAGCGUUGUUCGGAUUUACUGGGCGUAAAGGGCGCGUAGGCGGCGUAAUAAGUCACUUGUGAAAUCUCCGGGCUUAACUCGGAGCGGCCAAGUGAUACUGUCAUGCUAGAGUGCAGAAAGGGCAAUCGGAAUUCUCGGUGUAGCGGUGAAAUGCGUAGAUAUCGAGAGGAACACCUGAGGCGAAGGCGGGUUGCUAGGCUGACACUGACGCUGAGGCGCGAAAGCUAGGGUAGCAAACGGG